CAGUGAUGGGUUUACCUGGCUGUUAAUUAGUUUACCUGGACAGCCUGGCUAUUCUUUUUGGAUGAUAACUACUUAAUUCCUGAGUCCAGGUCACAGUCUCACCCUAUUCAUACACAGACACACCCUUAAGCCAGGAUUUGUGAACAAAGAGACAAUGGGGAGCCUUUUCCAUUUCCUUCCUCCGUGCAGAGAAAUAUUUGAGGUGACUGAAAGAGUCAAAAUGGCUUUAGGACUGUUUUCCUGUGCUGUUUCCAGACAUGUGGUUUAUAUAUUUAUGUU
Molecule: non-coding RNA, 279 nt
Organism: Podarcis lilfordi (Lilford's wall lizard)
Lineage: Eukaryota; Metazoa; Chordata; Lepidosauria; Squamata; Lacertidae
Source: the annotation of a GenBank genome assembly